RNAcentral lists this ribosomal RNA (444 nucleotides) under uncultured bacterium. Its description in RNAcentral is "bacterial SSU rRNA". It matches the Rfam family "Bacterial small subunit ribosomal RNA", at positions 354 to 796 of the family's 1533-position model. The record is from RNAcentral.
GUGAGGAAUAUUGGUCAAUGGGCGAGAGCCUGAACCAGCCAAGUCGCGUGAGGGAAGAAUGGUCUAUGGCCUGUAAACCUCUUUUGCCAGGGAAGAAUAAAAGGUACGUGUACCUUCUUGCCAGUACCUGACGAAUAAGCAUCGGCUAACUCCGUGCCAGCAGCCGCGGUAAUACGGGGGAUGCGAGCGUUAUCCGGAUUUAUUGGGUUUAAAGGGCGCGUAGGCGGGACGCCAAGUCAGCGGUAAAAGACUGCAGCUAAACUGUAGCACGCCGUUGAAACUGGCGACCUGGAGACGAGACGAGGGAGGCGGAACAAGUGAAGUAGCGGUGAAAUGCUUAGAUAUCACUUGGAACCCCGAUAGCGAAGGCAGCUUCCCAGGCUCGAUCUGACGCUGAUGCGCGAGAGCGUGGGUAGCGAACAGGAUUAGAUACCCGAGUAGUCC